RNAcentral lists this long non-coding RNA (978 nucleotides) under Homo sapiens (human). RNAcentral describes it as "non-protein coding lnc-MTRNR2L8-3:1". Lineage: Eukaryota; Metazoa; Chordata; Mammalia; Primates; Hominidae. The record is from RNAcentral.
GAAUCCUCCAUAGUCUGGUGAGUGCAGUGUCCAACUCUGGAGCCCAGACUGUUGCUUCCCAGUCUGGUGGUGAAUCCUCCAUAGUCUGUUUUGUCAGCCUGGCGGGUGGCAGCUGUCCAGAGAGAGGAAGCAGCCAACGUUCUUUGUGGUUGUCCUGACAGACAUUGACUCAGAUCGACAUUACUGCUCAUGCCUAACCUUCUAUGAGGCAGAGAUCAAUCUUCAGGGAACAAAGAAGGAAGAGAUUGAAGGUGAAGCAAAAGUGUCUGGUUUAAUUCAGCCUGCAGAAGUGUUUGCUCCCAAAAGCCUGGUGUUGGUAUCCAGAUUAUAUUAUCCAGAAAUUUUUAGGGCUUGCCUGGGUUUGAUCUAUACCGUGUAUGUGGACAGCCUGAAUGUCUCCUUGGAAAGUCUAAUUGCAAACCUUUGUGCCUGCCUUGUCCCAGCGGCUGGAGGGUCUCAGAAGCUGUUUUCUUUGGGUGCAGGAGAUAGACAGUUGAUCCAGACUCCUUUACAUGAUAGUCUUCCUAUCACGGGCACUAGUGUGGCUCUCCUGUUCCAGCAAUUGGGAAUUCAAAAUGUCCUCAGCCUCUUUUGUGCAGUCCUCACAGAAAAUAAGGUUCUCUUCCAUUCUGCAAGUUUCCAGAGACUUAGUGAUGCUUGUAGAGCCCUGGAAUCUUUAAUGUUUCCUCUUAAAUAUAGUUAUCCUUAUAUCCCUAUUCUCCCGGCUCAGCUACUGGAAGUUCUAAGUUCCCCAACGCCUUUCAUUAUUGGAGUACAUUCUGUCUUUAAAACUGAUGUCCAUGAACUUAUUUUACACCCAGAUUUGGAAGUAGCAGAUCAUGCUUUUCCUCCUCCACGAACAGCUUUAUCCCACUCAAAAAUGCUGGAUAAAGAGGUGCGAGCCGUUUUCCUUAGAUUAUUUGCACAACUCUUCCAAGGAUAUAGAUCCUGCCUGCAACUUAUAAGAAUUCAUGCAGA